GCUGGUAGUGGCCUUGGUCAACACGGAUGACCCGCCUUGUAAGCGGUAGGUCGUCGGUUCAAUCCCGACCACCGGCUCCA
RNAcentral lists this transfer RNA (80 nucleotides) under Pseudonocardiales bacterium. RNAcentral describes it as "tRNA-Thr". Lineage: Bacteria; Bacillati; Actinomycetota; Actinomycetes; Pseudonocardiales. The record is from RNAcentral.